This 492-nucleotide ribosomal RNA is filed under the name uncultured bacterium. RNAcentral describes it as "partial 16S ribosomal RNA". It matches the Rfam family "Bacterial small subunit ribosomal RNA", at positions 29 to 507 of the family's 1533-position model. The record is from RNAcentral.
AGUGAACGCUGGCGGUAGGCCUAACACAUGCAAGUCGAACGGCAGCACAGUAAGAGCUUGCCCUUACGGGUGGCGAGUGGCGGACGGGUGAGGAGUAGAUAGGCAUCUACUUUUUCGGGGGGGAUAACGUAGGGAAACUUACGCUAAUACCGCAUACGACCUACGGGUGAAAGCAGGGGAUCAUCGGAGCUUGCGCGACUGUAUGAGCCGAUGUCGGAUUAGCUAGUUGGCGGGGUAAAGGCACACCAAGGCGACGAUCCGUAGCUGGUCUGAGAGGAUGAUCAGCCACACUGGAACUGAGACACGGUCCAGACUCCUACGGGAGGCAGCAGUGGGGAAUAUUGGACAAUGGGCGCAAGCCUGAUCCAGCCAUACCGCGUGGGUGAAGAAGGCCUUCGGGUUGUAAAGCCCUUUUGUUGGGAAAGAAAAGCAGCAGGUUAAUACCCCGCUGUUCUGACGGUACCCAAAGAAUAAGCACCGGCUAACUUCGUG